RNAcentral lists this ribosomal RNA (305 nucleotides) under uncultured bacterium. RNAcentral describes it as "bacterial SSU rRNA". It matches the Rfam family "Bacterial small subunit ribosomal RNA", at positions 334 to 657 of the family's 1533-position model. The record is from RNAcentral.
CUAUCCUACGGGGCGCAGCAGUGGGGAAUAUUGCACAAUGGGGGAAACCCUGAUGCAGCGACGCCGCGUGAGUGAGGAAGUAUUUCGGUAUGUAAAGCUCUAUCAGCAGGGAAGAAAAUGACGGUACCUGACUAAGAAGCCCCGGCUAACUACGUGCCAGCAGCCGCGGUAAUACGGAGGAUGCGAGCGUUAUCCGGAUUUAUUGGGUUUAAAGGGUGCGCAGGCGGAAUGUCAAGUCAGCGGUAAAAUUUCGGGGCUCAACCCCGUCGUGCCGUUGAAACUGGCGUUCUUGAGUGAGCGAGAAG